UGUUUGAAGUAUAGUCGGAGGAGAGCUGAAACGUGUGUGCAACAAAUAAGACAUUGGGGAAAGUAGGUCAGGGCUGGUCAUGAGAGAACCACUUGUUUAAACAAACGUGCAGGAUUACUAGGUUUUGAACAAAUCAGUCCUGAGUGGAGCAUGUAACUCAGCUGGGAAGCUUUGUUUUAUCAUUGCAUCUCAGGGUCCUCGCAAAGCACCUAUGUUUAAUAGCGGAUGCGCAGCCAUUGUCAGGAUGAGGUCUUAAUGAAGCUUAAUAGGAGGAGACUGUUACUAAAUAGGAGACUGAAUUUAUUCAGAGCAAAUAAAAGUUUGGUUUUAAGAAGUAUAAUUAAUUCAGCUAAUUGAACUUAUUCCCACAUAAUUACUAGCAGGAAUUUCUAACAUCCUAUAACCUGUUGUGAGACUGAGAGAAAGUAUUUUUUUGAUGAUAUAUAGAAGCCCUUCAGUUUCAAGUUUGACCCAAGUAUAGCACUCAGAAUGCCUGAUCUGUCUUUAAGGAUUUUGUUAUUAUUCCUCUUCAUUGCUAUAGGCUGCACUGUGCUGCAGUAGGGGUGUGUUUUCUGAAAUAGAUAUUCAAAAAAGAAACCAUAUUGGGAUACACAGUACAAGCACUGAGCACUUUUCCAAAAGGACAGACAAAGAAGUCAAGAGAAGUGUAUUUAUGUUCUCUUCAAAGCACCAUGUCCGCAUCAGGUGAAUGAAAGAAAGAGAGUGGUGCAGCAAGAUCAGUAACAGAUCGGGAUUUUGGCUGUGUGAAUGCUAUUAUUUUUCUUACCAAGAUCACACUGUUUUCCUCCUGAGCCCUGAGCAUCUGCACUGGCUGUCUUCUCAGGCUCUCCCCUUCCAAGAGUCGGCUCAGCUCUGGGCACGUGGGUCAGAUGCAAGCUGAGGAGAUACAGCCAGAAGGUUCGUGUGCCUGCAGCCUCCUGAGAAGCAGCAUUCUGCCAUUCCUCUCCAGCGUUUUGUGAAACAAGCACAUUUUGCUGCACACCAGAGCUUGUCACCCACAUUUUGACAAAGCUAGUCACAAUAGCUUGACACUUUUAAUUGAACUUUAUGGAAAUCUCAGUAGUUAAGACUGAUUUUCUGUCUUUUAACCACACUGUACUUUAGCGAAAUACUGCAUCGUGGAUAAGAGAACGUUCUCGCCCGUUCAGAUGCAGCAACAGUGGGAAGCUGGAGGAGAAUUAGGGGGGCACGUAGUGGAUAGCUGAGAAUUUUCUGCUGGAUAAAUUUCCAAUGAAAACCACUCAUCUCCUAAAAACAAGUUCUUGAUGGAGAAAUUUCACAUUUGGAGAGAGCUUUUUGUUUUACACUGGGAAAAUUGGUGUGAUGCUUCUGUGAUGCCUAGCUAGGUGAAUCUUACCAGCUGUGUUCUCUGCCUACAGGACUUAUCAGAAGCUCACCGUGUGGCACCGAGUGCUUCAGCUCUCCACUGUCUUGACCCUUCUCCCGCUUCCUUCUCUCGGGUAUCUAGGCAAACAGGGAAUUGGGAGAGCUAUCCCAAAACUUUGUGAGAAUGUAUAUGUUAAGUACGAAAUCAAAACAAGACUAGAAGCUAGAACUGGAAAGCGACAGAAAAUCAGAUGAUCCCUUCUGAAUAAUAUCUUGGCGCUGGCGUAACCGCAACAUGUAUUGCUGAGCUGUGUUUUUCCUGCUGCAAUCCCACAAGCUGGAGGGAAAGCAACUCACUAACAAAAGUUUCCUGCCACUAUUGUAUGUCCUCUUUUCUUUGGAAAGAUAGUAUUAAUAGAGAGGGAUGCUUGAUUUCUUGUUUCUGACACUUCACCAGCCCCAGGAGGUUUUUUUCCCAGUGGCGAAGGUGUUUGUUACAUUUCUAUGAAUCCCCUCUCCUUCAUUUUUCUAUCAUCCUCUGAAUGCCUAGCUCUCAAGCAGCACACCAAACCAACGUAUUUCCAGCCUAGAGGAUGAAAAGAGGAUGUGUAUUUUUCCAUUCAACCUGAAUUUUGAGCAUAACCUCGAGGACUAUGUGUGGGACUGCAAGUGCAUCCUCAUGCACGCUUGGCUGUAUCUCCUGGUACCCAAGGACAUACCCCGAGUGCGCCGGACAGGCGGGCUGCAGGGGUGCGGUGCUGGCACAGCGCACUCGCUACUGCCUCCAAACCCCUCGCUCAGAAAAGCGUAGUCUGCAAGAUCCCUUCAUAGCUCAUAAAAUGCAGCUCGCUCAUGAUUAGAAGUAUGUAGCCAGACGUGGCAUGUAAACAGCAAGAUCUCCAGAAAUCUAGACUUUCUAGGCUCAUUUUCAUUUGCAGGUUCUGUAAAAACAAAACUGAACGGUUAUGUCCAAUGGCUACUCUAUCUUUUAUGCAAUAUAGGACACAGCAAUUGAGAAGAAAAGGAAGGAAACAAAGCCUACCUUUUCUAGGAAAAAUCUAAACAAAUCCUUAUUUGCAAAUAACUUCACCCAGUGGUAUUCUGGGGGCUAGAAAGGAACACAACAGAACAGAAAGCAACAACUGUGACAAUUGUUUGCCAUAAUCUUGCAAAAAAGGUGUUAGAAGGAGAAUCUCAUUACAAAAAGGUAAAAGGUGGACAUAAGAUUGAUUUUUUUGGAGUUCAGUUCACUGUCAACAUAGCAUGGGAGUUUCACCAAAAACAAAACAAAACCCACUGGCUCAAGGCCUGGGCAGGAUCUCUCGGACUCCAGAGAGCUGACCCACGUGUCUGCGACCGGGUUCAUGAUGACGAGGUGCCUCACUCCUGGCCCUCUGACCAGAAGUCCACAUUGCCCAGAGGACUGCAGGCUAUUGUGGGCUAUUCUGGGAUGGAUUUUUCAUAGUUGUUUGCAUCCGGCAAGGACAAGUCUUUCUAGUUUCCUAAGGAAUUGCUAAGUCCCUUUUAAACGCUUUUCCACUAGCAGCUCCUGACACUGGGAACUACUAGGAAUCAUCAAAAGCUUUUGUCAAAAUGGGGAGAAGGAGGACAAUAAAAGACAAUAUGGUUAAACAUAUACAUAGUUAUACAAGCAAGGCCCUUGAAAUCAAACAAAUCGAAAAAAAACCACACGAACAAUACUGUAAUUGUAUAAUCCCCCCCAGAUGUAAAACUGGCCCUCAGCUGUUCAAGUCAGUAAACAGGCUCUCAAGAUCAAGCCACUGAAAGCAAAGACUAGUGCAGUUAUAUGUUUAAAAGAAUUGAAAUAUGCUUAAAUAGUGGAUGUUCCACCUUGUGUACUGCACUCGAUCAGCAUAUUUUUCCUCUUUAUCACUUGCAGAAAGCCUGACUGCUGUCUCUUGAGAGGCAAAUAAUUUAGACUGCGUCUAGAAGAGCUGAGAUCUAAGAUAAAUAGCUGUCAUCAAUGUGAUAGAGCCUGAGACAGCAUGGCACAUAAGAGUCAGGGACCUUCUUGAUCGCAGUCUGAUUAUUAGUUUGGAGACUCAUUCUAUCUGUGCUAGCGUAAGAACAAAUUUCUAUAAAUAUGUGGUAGAAAGGGUGUAAUUUGUUCUUCAUAUAAUACCUGUUUUAUGCUCUAGUGGAGCCAACUGAGUCACUGAAGUAUCAAUGCACUGUUACAGUGCUGUUUUUAAAAAGUAUUUCCACAGAAUCUGAAAUUGUGUGUGCCUGUAAUUAUUUUAUCAUCAAAAUUUGUAAGUGAAUAUUAAUACCCUGCUUCUUGCAAA
Long non-coding RNA from Harpia harpyja (harpy eagle), 3653 nucleotides. RefSeq lists it as uncharacterized. The record is from RefSeq and is a predicted model, not a curated record. NCBI's taxonomy places the organism in Eukaryota, Metazoa, Chordata, Aves, Accipitriformes, Accipitridae. The transcript has 3 exons.